Carya illinoinensis is the source of this 460-nucleotide long non-coding RNA. RefSeq lists it as uncharacterized. The transcript is spliced from 2 exons. The record is from RefSeq and is a predicted model, not a curated record. Lineage: Eukaryota; Viridiplantae; Streptophyta; Magnoliopsida; Fagales; Juglandaceae.
ACUACAACCAGAACCCUUAUUUUGGUCAACAUCUUCACCUCUCACAAAAGCUUCUUCAAGCUUUCUCUUACUUCACUCAAGCCAAACUCCAAAAACAACCUUAGAUAGCGAACCGAUUGAGAGUAAAGCCAAGUUGGAGUUGAAGGAUUCAUUCUCAACACAAAAGCCUUGCACUAAUAAUGCUGCAGAGUUUGAGGAGCCAGUUCCAGAUGAGGAGCAAACGGGUCUCGAUGAGGUGGAUUAGAAUAGUAGAUGCUGCUAAUGAUGUGUACCUUUGUUGAGAUGGUCUUUCUUAUAUAUUUGUAAUCAAAUCUUGUAAACUGUGGACCAACUUUUAGUUAUGAUGUAAAAUGGUUGUGGAGGGAGUACAUUUUGAGGACAAUGUUUCUAUUUCAAAACUUAUGGUUUUGUAUUGUAAAGACUUUGUGAUGGUAAUAUAAUGUGUAUGUUGGGAUGUGUA